This 251-nucleotide ribosomal RNA is filed under the name uncultured bacterium. RNAcentral's name for it is "partial 16S ribosomal RNA". It matches the Rfam family "Bacterial small subunit ribosomal RNA", at positions 57 to 305 of the family's 1533-position model. The record is from RNAcentral.
GCAAGUCGAACGGUAACAGAAGAGCUUGCUCUUGCUGACGAGUGGCGAACGGGUGCGUAACGCGUAUACAACUUACCUUUAACUGGGGGAUAGCCCAUGGAAACGUGGAUUAAUACCGCAUAACAUUGUAGAUUCGCAUGUUUUUACAAUUAAAACUUCGGUGGUUAAAGAUGGGUAUGCGUGACAUUAGCUAGUUGGUGAGGUAACUGCUCACCAAGGCUACGAUGUCUAGGGGGCCUAAGAGGGCGAAC